This 1078-nucleotide long non-coding RNA is filed under the name Theobroma cacao (cacao). RNAcentral's name for it is "long non-coding RNA (TCAC_LNC000764)". The record is from RNAcentral. Lineage: Eukaryota; Viridiplantae; Streptophyta; Magnoliopsida; Malvales; Malvaceae.
AGUGCUUUUCAUUUCACGUUUCUUAUGCCUUUCUGGAUUGUCUUUCAUUCAUUUUCAGGCUUUCAUAGACUUUUUUUCUUUCAUUAUUCCCAAAAAUUAAACAACGAUAGCUAGUCCCUGUGAAAAGCCAAACCCUUUCUAAAUGAACAAAAGGAAUAAUAUGUGGGCACAGGAUUUUAAUUUAUACACAUCGUUAACAAACAUUUUACACAUGAUAAACUUUUGGGGUUCAUAUAUACUUAAUUUCCUCCCACACGCAAAGAACACUUGAAAAAAAAAUUACAAGUGUUGAAACUCUCCUAGCUAGGGAACCCACAUUGUCUCUGCACAUGUCAAUCCAGAAAGAACUUAAUAUUCUUCCUUUUUCAAACUGUCUAUUCUCUCCUGUUGGCUGUUGAUCUUUAAUUUCUCCUUCGUAUCUCUGAAAACGUCUAUAAAAGGUUAUGAAUUUACUUGCCAUAUUACUCCAGAAAGGAAAAUAUAUUCUAAUUCUAGCUUCCUUGUUUUACCAGGUAAGGGAAGAAUAUUCCAUGGGAAAUAAAAUAUUAUAAUUCUGGGGUUAUGGCCUGGUUGAAAGCUGGCACUGAUAACACGCCACGCUCUGGCACCCGCAAGUUUGUAGAAGACUUCUUCAAGUUAAGUCUUUUUAAUUCAGAUCACGUACAGUAUCGAUUGCAGGGCGUUUACACAACUGGAGAGCUUUGUUUAAUUGUUUGUUAUUUACGUAGAGAAGUAGGACAGACAAACCCUAAGUAACGUAGCUUGAAUGUUUCAGUGUUGGCAUGUAAACAGAAUUUCAUUUCCGGAGAAGCCUUUGACGGCCGCAUUCGGUGGGAAAUGAAAAUGAGAGGAAAGUAAUAAGAAAAAAAGGCUUAGGUUGAUUGAAAGAAAAUGGUCAUUUUGAGGAAAAGGUAAUCACUUUUCGGCGUAACUCUAUGAAGCAAAAUGUGAUAAAUUUAUACCACUACAUUCACAUGGUUUUGAUCAUACCAAAGUACCCUCCAACUCCAACUUCUUUCAUCUUGGCUUUACCCCUCUGUUUUCCUUUUUCAAAGGCUAUUAAUAUGUUUUUUUUUUU